This 74-nucleotide transfer RNA is filed under the name Kineosporia sp. NBRC 101677. Its description in RNAcentral is "tRNA-Ser". Lineage: Bacteria; Bacillati; Actinomycetota; Actinomycetes; Kineosporiales; Kineosporiaceae. The record is from RNAcentral.
GCGAGGGGUCGAGCAGUUGCUCGACCGACGCGUAGAACGCGUCCAGAUCAGCGUGCAGAAUCGCUGCCCCCGCG